Molecule: non-coding RNA, 73 nt
Organism: Caerostris darwini
Lineage: Eukaryota; Metazoa; Arthropoda; Arachnida; Araneae; Araneidae
Source: the annotation of a GenBank genome assembly
GUACCCAUGACGUAGUGGUUAUCACAUCCGCCUAACACGCGGAAGCUACCACGUACGAGACCUGGUGGAUGCA